Molecule: ribosomal RNA, 906 nt
Filed under: uncultured bacterium
Lineage: Bacteria
Description: bacterial SSU rRNA
Rfam family: Bacterial small subunit ribosomal RNA
Source: RNAcentral
AGAGUUUGAUCAUGGCUCAGGACGAACGCUGGCGGCGUGCCUAACACAUGCAAGUCGAGCGGUUCUUAAGCUGUAGUUUACUAUAGCUUAAGAAUAGCGGCGAACGGGUGAGUAACACGUGGGCAACCUGUCCGAAAGAUCGGGAUAACAGUCCGAAAGGGCUGCUAAUACCGAAUACGCUUACCGGGUCGCAUGAUCCGGUAAGGAAAGGUCGGCAACUUCCGCUUUCGGGUGGGCCCGCGUCCCAUUAGCUAGUUGGUAGGGUAACGGCCUACCAAGGCAACGAUGGGUAGCUGGUCUGAGAGGAUGGUCAGCCACACUGGGACUGAGACACGGCCCAGACUCCUACGGGAGGCAGCAGUGGGGAAUCUUGCGCAAUGGGCGAAAGCCUGACGCAGCGACGCCGCGUGAGCGAGGAAGGCCUUCGGGUCGUAAAGCUCUGUCAGAGGGGACGAUAAUGACGGUACCCUCAGAGGAAGCCCCGGCUAACUACGUGCCAGCAGCCGCGGUAAGACGUAGGGGGCGAGCGUUGUCCGGAAUCACUGGGCGUAAAGGGCGUGUAGGCGGCUUUGCAAGUCAGUGGUGAAACACCUGGGCUCAACCGAGGUAUUGCCGUUGAAACUGCAUCGCUUGAGGGUAGAAGAGGAGUGUGGAAUUCCCGGUGUAGCGGUGAAAUGCGUAGAGAUCGGGAGGAACACCAGUGGCGAAGGCGGCACUCUGGUCUACCCCUGACGCUGAGGCGCGAAAGCUAGGGGAGCAAACAGGAUUAGAUACCCUGGUAGUCCUAGCCGUAAACGAUGGGCACUAGGUGUAGGAGGUUUAGAUACCUUCUGUGCCGUAGCUAACGCAUUAAGUGCCCCGCCUGGGAAGUACGGUCGCAAGGCUGAAACUCAAAUGAAUUGACGG